RNAcentral lists this long non-coding RNA (290 nucleotides) under Gossypium barbadense (sea-island cotton). Its description in RNAcentral is "long non-coding RNA (GBAR_LNC013518)". Lineage: Eukaryota; Viridiplantae; Streptophyta; Magnoliopsida; Malvales; Malvaceae. The record is from RNAcentral.
AGAAAGAUCUUUAGUGUGAAGAUUCAAUUAAAAUGUUUUAAUAUUUAAGGAAUAAUUUAAAUUUAACUCAUAGUGUAGAUGUCUUAAGGAAAUAAUCCAUAGGCAAAAUAAAAACAAUAUAUACAUCUUUUUUUUUCCUAAAAAAGUGUGUGCUCCUAUCAUGUCGCUCGUUCGUCUUAACCUGUAAAAUAAACAAAGAAACAAAAAAUUAAUAAAUAAAGCUGAAAAAUCCAAUUCCAACACUACAACAAGCGAACAGUGCUAUAACAGCAGUCGGUAAGACCGUUGAC